GUACAACAAUACCUUCAAAUGACCUUGAUUAAGGUGGUAUCAGAUGAUAUUGUUAGCAGAUCAUCCAUUGAGAAAAAUACAGCACAACCAAUGAUCUAGGUUAGUGUUUCUGGGUCCUGGGGAUAUAACCAAUGAUCUAGGUUAGUGUUUCUUGGCCCUGGGGAUAUAACUAAUGAUCUAGGUUAGUGUUUCUGGGCCCUGGGGAUAUAACCAAUGAUCUAGGUUAGUGUUUCUGGGUCCUGGGGAUAUAACCAAUGAUCUAGGUUAGUGUUUCUGGGUCCUGGGGAUAUAACCAAUGAUCUAGGUUAGUGUUCCUGGGUCCUGGGGAUAUAACUAAUGAUCUAGGUUAGUGUUUCUGGGUCCUGGGGAUAUAACCAAUGAUCUAGGUUAGUGUUUCCUGGUCCUGAGGAUAUAACCAAUGAUCUAGGUUAGUGUUUCUGGGUCCUGGGGAUAUAACCAAUGAUCUAGGUUAGUGUUCCUGGGUCCUGGGGAUAUAACCAAUGAUCUAGGUGAGUGUUUCUGGGUCCUGGGGAUAUAACCAAUGAUCUAGGUUAGUGUUUCCUGGUCCUGAGGAUAUAACCAAUGAUCUAGGUUAGUGUUUCUGGGUCCUGGGGAUAUAACCAAUGAUCUAGGUUAGUGUUUCUGGGUCCUGGGGAUAUAACCAAUGAUCUAGGUUAGUGUUUCUUGGCCCUGGGGAUAUAACUAAUGAUCUAGGUUAGUGUUUCUGGGUCCUGGGGAUAUAACCAAUGAUCUAGGUUAGUGUUUCUGGGUCCUGGGGAUAUAACCAAUGAUCUAGGUUAGUGUUUCUGGGUCCUGGGGAUAUAACCAAUGAUCUAGGUUAGUGUUUCUUGGCCCUGGGGAUAUAACUAAUGAUCUAGGUUAGUGUUUCUUGGCCCUGGGGAUAUAACUAAUGAUCUAGGUUAGUGUUUCUGGGUCCUGGGGAUAUAACCAAUGAUCUAGGUUAGUGUUUCUGGGUCCUGGGGAUAUAACCAAUGAUCUAGGUUAGUGUUUCUUGGCCCUGUGGAUAUAACUAAUGAUCUAGGUUAGUGUUUCUGGGUCCUGGGGAUAUAACCAAUGAUCUAGGUUAGUGAUCCUGGGUCCUGGGGAUAUAACUAAUGAUCUAGGUUAGUGUUUCUUGGCCCUGGGGAUAUAACUAAUGAUCUAGGUUAGUGUUUCUGGGUCCUGGGGAUAUAACCAAUGAUCUAGGUUAGUGUUUCCUGGUCCUGAUGAUAUAACCAAUGAUCUAGGUUAGUGUUUCCUGGUCCUGAGGAUAUAACCAAUGAUCUAGGUUAGUGUUUCUUGGCCCUGGGGAUAUAACUAAUGAUCUAGGUUAGUGUUUCUGGGUCCUGAGGAUAUAACCAAUGAUCUAGGUUAGUGUUUCUGGGUCCUGGGGAUAUAACCAAUGAUCUAGGUUAGUGUUUCUUGGCCCUGGGGAUAUAACCAAUGAUCUAGGUUAGUGUUUCUGGGUCCUGGGGAUAUAACCAAUGAUCUAGGUUAGUGUUUCUGGGUCCUGGGGAUAUAACCAAUGAUCUAGGUUAGUGUUUCUUGGCCCUGGGGAUAUAACUAAUGAUCUAGGUUAGUGUUUCUUGGCCCUGGGGAUAUAACUAAUGAUCUAGGUUAGUGUUUCUGGGUCCUGAGGAUAUAACCAAUGAUCUAGGUUAGUGUUUCUGGGUCCUGGGGAUAUAACCAAUGAUCUAGGUUAGUGUUUCUUGGCCCUGGGGAUAUAACCAAUGAUCUAGGUUAGUGUUUCUGGGUCCUGGGGAUAUAACCAAUGAUCUAGGUUAGUGUUUCUGGGUCCUGGGGAUAUAACCAAUGAUCUAGGUUAGUGUUUCUUGGCCCUGGGGAUAUAACUAAUGAUCUAGGUUAGUGUUUCUGGGUCCUGGGGAUAUAACCAAUGAUCUAGGUUAGUGUUUCUGGGUCCUGGGGAUAUAACUAAUGAUCUAGGUUAGUGUUUCUGGGUCCUGGGGAUAUAACUAAUGAUCUAGGUUAGUGUUUCUUGGUCCUGGGGAUAUAACUAAUGAUCUAGGUUAGUGUUUCCUGGUCCUGAGGAUAUAACCAAUGAUCUAGGUUAGUGUUUCUGGGUCCUGGGGAUAUGAAAUAUGACCCUUUGGGUCCAUAACCCUAAC
Oncorhynchus keta (chum salmon) is the source of this 2126-nucleotide long non-coding RNA. RefSeq lists it as uncharacterized. The record is from RefSeq and is a predicted model, not a curated record. Lineage: Eukaryota; Metazoa; Chordata; Actinopteri; Salmoniformes; Salmonidae. The transcript has 8 exons.